RNAcentral lists this ribosomal RNA (274 nucleotides) under uncultured bacterium. Its description in RNAcentral is "partial 16S ribosomal RNA". It matches the Rfam family "Bacterial small subunit ribosomal RNA", at positions 523 to 796 of the family's 1533-position model. The record is from RNAcentral.
AUACGGAGGGUGCGAGCGUUAAUCGGAAUUACUGGGCGUAAAGCGUACGUAGGCGGUUGGUUAAGUUAGAUGUGAAAGCCCCGGGCUUAACCUGGGAACUGCAUUUAAAACUGGCGAACUAGAGUUGAGUAGAGGGGAGUGGAAUUUCAGGUGUAGCGGUGAAAUGCGUAGAGAUCCGAAGGAACACCAGUGGCGAAGGCGACUCCCUGGACUCGAACUGACGCUGAGGUACGAAAGCGUGGGUAGCAAACGGGAUUAGAUACCCCAGUAGUCC